CCCGCCCGCGCAUUGGGGGCGGGGCGCCUGCAUCUCCUGCCCGCCCCCGGGAGGUCUGGCCUUGCCGGUGCCCGCGCUCCCACCCGCAGCCAUGGCCGAACCCACCCAGGGAAGGGGCUAUAGGCUGGAGCUGCCCCUGACGCUCCUGCCCGCCUCCUUGGCCGCAGUAGGAAUUUGCUCCGAAGAAUGAGUUCAGAAAUCAGUCCCCGCCGCAGACCGCACCCGGGAGAUCCUGUCACGCUGCGGGGGCCCAGGUGGCAGGUUUCCAGCCUCGUUACGUGCAGGCAGAGCCCGCGCGUGCCAGCCGCGACAUUUUCAAGCUAUUCACUCCUAAAGAGUGUUAUGGACAGAUGAACAUACGAACUAUCCCCCUUUACAUAUAGAGAAUUGGCUGUAUCAGAAAUCGGCCUGAUGAGGCCAGUAAUUUGGCAGAUAAAUUCCCAUGCACGUAUGCAGCCACAGCGCAGCAUGAGGGCAGUGAGGAGCAGAGCCCAGCAGCUUGGAGAACUGUGUGCAGCUGACCAACAUGGCUACCAGAUACAUCCCUGAAACAUGGAAGAUGCCGAAUUUUAGCCAAUUUUGUAUUUAAACUUCAUCACUGAACAAUAAGAAAGAUUUCUACACCUCCCUGUCUGCCAUCUGACACCACCAAGGAAAGAAUCCUGCCUUAUCUGCACAUCAAAGAGCAACUCAAAGACACUCUCAUGGACCCAGAGGAACAGACUUCCACCUUCAGCUUCCUCUGCAAAAAUGAAGUUAUUUUCUACCUAUGGGGACUUUUUAUCAUUAAUUUUCCCUGAGCCUGAGGGAGAAGGGCAUUCAUGCCCACAAGCUUGCAGAAAAAGAUAAUUUUUUUGUGAUUUCUUAGUUGGUCUAAUAAAAGGUAUCAUCUCUGAACCAAGA
This is a long non-coding RNA of Alligator mississippiensis (American alligator), 903 nucleotides long. RefSeq lists it as uncharacterized. The transcript has 3 exons. The record is from RefSeq and is a predicted model, not a curated record. NCBI's taxonomy places the organism in Eukaryota, Metazoa, Chordata, Crocodylia, Alligatoridae.